CAGUAGCCGCGGUAAUACGGAGGGUGCAAGCGUUAAUCGGAAUUACUGGGCGUAAAGCGCACGCAGGCGGUCUGUUAAGUCAGAUGUGAAAUCCCCGGGCUCAACCCGGGAACUGCAUUUGAAACUGGCAGGCUUGAGUCUUGUAGAGGGGGGUAGAAUUCCAGGUGUAGCGGUGAAAUGCGUAGAGAUCUGGAGGAAUACCGGUGGCGAAGGCGGCCCCCUGGACAAAGACUGACGCUCAGGUGCGAAAGCGUGGGGAGCAAACAGGAUUAGAUACCCCUGUAGUCCCUGUCUCUUAUAC
This 301-nucleotide ribosomal RNA is filed under the name uncultured bacterium. RNAcentral describes it as "partial 16S ribosomal RNA". It matches the Rfam family "Bacterial small subunit ribosomal RNA", at positions 509 to 807 of the family's 1533-position model. The record is from RNAcentral.